UUCCCACAACCUCUCAAGGCAGGCAGUAAGAGGCUCCUUCAUUACUUGUUUAAAGUAUUUUCCCUAAUUUCAGCAUUCCCACUGCUGAAUAAUCUCUGAUCUUCAUAGUCUCUGCAUUGACCCAUUUUUAAGAGCACUAUGUAGCUCUGACUGUCCUGGAACUCACUCUGUUGACCAGGCUGGCCUCCAACUCACAGAGGGCUGCCUGUCCCUGCCUCCAGAGUGCUGGGAUUAAAGGUGCUGCCCCUAUGCCUGCCUGCUUUUCCCUUGCUAGCAAAUUGUUGAAGCUGUGGUGAUCUUCUGUAACCUGUAUUUCUCUCUCUUCCUCUGAAUCCUACUAUAGCUUCCAGGUUUUAGUUUUGGGGAGGACUCAUUAAUACUGAUCCAACUUGGGUUCUUUUACCUUUCCCCUGUCUCUCUCCCCACUACCAACAUCUCAUCCUCUCAUUUAUCAAUAUUUUCCAAAAUUCAGAGACUAACUUGAUGGACGUCCCACAUGUAAUUUUUCUAUUAUAAUUCCUAUCUUGGGGAAGCCAUGUUGGCCUCAGAUAUAUUUCUUACAACAUGUAUCAGAAGUUAGGAUGCCUCUGUACUCUACUGCCAUGACAUUCAUUCCUAUCAAGGUACUACUCUUAAGGACUGUAAUAUCUGCCCUAGACUUUAGAGGUUGAAAAAAAGAACCUAAGAGCCAAGCUGGAGGAAAGAGUUUUGUAGUGUACUAUCCUCUGACUAAAACAGACUCUACCCUCCUCUGAUCAGCUGUGCCACUUGCAAGCAUCAACUGUGAUUGAACCUAUGGGCUAAAUAGAAUGAAGGGGUGGGGAGGGUCGCUGGAUCCUUACCUCAGUAUCCAACAAUUCCUUUUAGUCAUUUGUAUGCAAGUCUCUUCUUAUUUAAUGUAACUUGUGGGUCUGUAGGGGGUGCUAGAGUACACAGGCUGGUAAAGACUAGGGCAAGGAAGCCCCAUCUAUGUGACAAAGGGGAACCGAUCAUCUAUGGUGAAUCCAGACCUUUCCAGUAUGGCUGAUUUAGGGGCACUCAUGCUCCUGCCUGCACUGAACCCCUAACCCAUGCUCUGUAAAUAAGCCGAAAAGAUUCACUGACUCACCAGAGCAAACUAUAGUGGGAUGAUACUUUGGUUUGCUAUCAGGACCUUAGAAGGGCACAGGUCUUGUUUAUAUCUUCCCUGUAAUUCUCACAAAAAAGGCUUUAACAUCCAGAGCCUCCUGAGGUAGAUGGGUAAAGUACUCUGUUCAAGUAUGCCCAUAUUUAGUAUAAGCCUAACCAUAAUAAUAGAUUGUUUAGAUUCUCUCUAUUUGGGGUAGUUUCACCUAAGAUAGCCUCAGCUUUUGUUCUUUUCAGGGCCCAGUACAUCUCAGUUCUGCAGACCUGCUACAGAGACCACAGAAUAGGUAUUCAUUUAACUUUGAUUAAUUGGGCAGAACUCAAUGGUUGUCAUGUCUGGAACCAUGUCUGAGGUUCCCCCAGUGCCAGCACCAAGGAUAGAAUGAACUUAUCCGGAAAACCCUCAGCUCUCUCUCAGCAUCUUCCCAUAAGUUUAUUUCCUCCACAAAUCCCUGUCUAUUCUCUUUAGAACUCCAGAGUCUACUGAGAUGGUACAAGUGUGAAGGAACUAGUCAGCAAGACAGUGCUUGGAGAGUCAGAGUGAAAAGAGGAACUGGUUUGCAGGGUCCAUUGUAGUUUUCGAGAAGUUGGAGGGAAUUUUUGGCAAGUCUCACUUUUAUUUUAAAAUUAUCCAACAUUUUAUAGUCUAGUGAUUUGCAUUUGUACAAUGUAAACAUCUUUGUAAUGUAUACAUACAAUUUAUGUGUCUAUUUAUAUACAUGUGUUUUAUGUAUCUGUUAUAGUUAUUUUAUUAGAUAUAACAUAUGAAGCAAUAUCUGUUCUAUGUAUGAGUUAUUCAUAUUUGACACUCUGUUCUAGUGCCUUCUUUACCUUCUGUAACACUAUAGUUGUAAUGAAUAGCCACAAGGCUAACUACAGAUGUUUGUCAGCAUAGACUAGAGCCAAUGCAUCAGAAUAUAUUCUCCUGCUCUCUGUCCUGUCUUUGCACUUUUUUAAACAUGGUUUUAAAAGUACAGAUAUACUAUAUUUUGAUGGAAUGAAUAUAUUCAUAAUUAUUCAUUAAUUGAUUAUGAUUUUAUCCUGGUUAAGAAACUGUUUCUAUGGAGCAAGACUUGUGUACCUACAAAGUUCAUUUGUUAAAGCCUUAAAUGCUAAUUGGACCAUUUGUGAAUGGGGCCUCUAUAAAAGUAAUUAAGGUUAAAUGAGAUUAUAAAUAUAGGGUUGAUCCUAUUAUAGUAGUGUGUUUUAUAAGAAGUGUCACUAAAGAGAUCGUUAUACAUGUGUACUGAAAAAGGCCAUUGGACUACUUAAUAAAAACCAAAUGAUCACU
RNAcentral lists this long non-coding RNA (2416 nucleotides) under Rattus norvegicus (Norway rat). Its description in RNAcentral is "long non-coding RNA NONRATT028687". The record is from RNAcentral. Lineage: Eukaryota; Metazoa; Chordata; Mammalia; Rodentia; Muridae.